Molecule: ribosomal RNA, 560 nt
Filed under: Sebacina sp. Seb10L
Lineage: Eukaryota; Fungi; Basidiomycota; Agaricomycetes; Sebacinales; Sebacinaceae
Description: eukaryotic LSU rRNA
Rfam family: Eukaryotic large subunit ribosomal RNA
Source: RNAcentral
CGAGUGAAGAGGGAAAAGCUCAAAUUUUGAAUCCGACGUCUUCGGCGUCCGAGUUGUAAUCUAGAGAAGUGUUUUCCGUGUCGGACCGUGCACAAGUUCCCUGGAACGGGGCGUCAUAGAGGGUGAGAAUCCCGUACGUGGCACGGACUCCCGGUGCUCUGCGAUACACUCUCAACGAGUCGAGUUGUUUGGGAAUGCAGCUCAAAAUGGGUGGUAAAUUCCAUCUAAAGCUAAAUAUUGGCGAGAGACCGAUAGCGAACAAGUACCGUGAGGGAAAGAUGAAAAGCACUUUGGAAAGAGAGUGAAACAGUACGUGAAAUUGUUGAAAGGGAAGCGUUUGAAGUCAGUCGCGUCUGGCGGGGUUCAGCCUGGCUUCUGCCUGGUGUAUUCCCUGUCCGACGGGUCAGCAUCAGUUUCGGCCGAGAGAGAAAGGCUUGGGGAAUGUGGCCAUCUUCGGGUGGUGUUAUAGCCCCUUGUCAUAUGUCUCGGUGGGGACUGAGGACUGCAGCGCGCCUUACGGCCGGGGUUCGCGCCCUCGGUACGCGCUUAGGAUGCUGGCA